Molecule: transfer RNA, 75 nt
Filed under: Streptomyces nanshensis
Lineage: Bacteria; Bacillati; Actinomycetota; Actinomycetes; Kitasatosporales; Streptomycetaceae
Description: tRNA-Leu
Rfam family: tRNA
About the family: Transfer RNA (tRNA) molecules are approximately 80 nucleotides in length. Their secondary structure includes four short double-helical elements and three loops (D, anti-codon, and T loops).
Source: RNAcentral
GCCCGGAUGGCGAAAACGGAAAACGCGGUGGCCUUAAAAGCCAGCCAACUGUGGGUUCGAGUCCCACUCCGGGCA